Small nuclear RNA from Lycium ferocissimum, 102 nucleotides. NCBI's taxonomy places the organism in Eukaryota, Viridiplantae, Streptophyta, Magnoliopsida, Solanales, Solanaceae. The record is from RefSeq and is a predicted model, not a curated record.
GUCCAUUCAGGGACAUCCGAUAAAAUUGGAACGAUACAAAGAAGAUUAGCAUGAUCCUACGCAAGGAUGACAGGUAUAAAUCGAGAAAUGAUCCAAAUAUAC